Molecule: ribosomal RNA, 460 nt
Filed under: uncultured bacterium
Lineage: Bacteria
Description: partial 16S ribosomal RNA
Rfam family: Bacterial small subunit ribosomal RNA
Source: RNAcentral
CCUACGGGAGGCAGCAGUGAGGAAUAUUGGUCAAUGGGCGCGAGCCUGAACCAGCCAAGUAGCGUGAAGGAUGACUGCCCUACGGGUUGUAAACCUCUUUUAUAAAGGAAUAAAAUGAGGCACGUGUGCCGUUUUGUCUGUACCUUAUGAAUAAGGAUCGGCUAACUCCGUGCCAGCAGCCGCGGUAAUACGGAGGAUCCGAGCGUUAUCCGGAUUUAUUGGGUUUAAAGGGUGCGUAGAUGGGUUGUUAAGUCAGUUGUGAAAGUUUGCGGCUAAACCGUAAAAUUGCCAUUGAUACUGGCAGGCUUGAGUACAGUUGAGGUAGGCGGAAUUCGUGGUGUAGCGGUGAAAUGCUUAGAUAUCACGUAGAACUCCGAUUGCGAAGGCAGCUUACUAAACUGAGACUGACGUUGAUGCACGAAAGUGUGGGUAUCAAACAGGAUUAGAUACCCUGGUAGUC